RNAcentral lists this ribosomal RNA (440 nucleotides) under uncultured bacterium. Its description in RNAcentral is "partial 16S ribosomal RNA". It matches the Rfam family "Bacterial small subunit ribosomal RNA", at positions 338 to 795 of the family's 1533-position model. The record is from RNAcentral.
CCUACGGGAGGCAGCAGUGGGGAAUAUUGCACAAUGGGGGGAACCCUGAUGCAGCGACGCCGCGUGAGUGAAGCAGUAUUUCGGUAUGUAAAGCUCUAUCAGCAGGGAAGAAAAUGACGGUACCUGACUAAGAAGCCCCGGCUAACUACGUGCCAGCAGCCGCGGUAAUACGUAGGGGGCAAGCGUUAUCCGGAUUUACGGGGUGUAAAGGGAGCGCAGACGGCUGUGCAAGUCUGGAGUGAAAGGCGGGGGCCCAACCCCCGGACUGCUCUGGAAACUGUAAAGCUGGAGUGCAGGAGAGGUAAGCGGAAUUCUUAGUGUAGCGGUGAAAUGCGUAGAUAUUAGGAGGAACACCAGUGGCGAAGGCGGAUUACUGGACUGCAACUGACGUUGAGGCUCGAAAGCGUGGGGAGCAAACAGGAUUAGAUACCCUGGUAGUC